Molecule: ribosomal RNA, 459 nt
Filed under: uncultured bacterium
Lineage: Bacteria
Description: partial 16S ribosomal RNA
Rfam family: Bacterial small subunit ribosomal RNA
Source: RNAcentral
CCUACGGGUGGCAGCAGUGAGGAAUAUUGGUCAAUGGCCGAGAGUCUGAACCAGCCAAGUCGCGUGCGGGAAGAAUGUCCUAUGGAUUGUAAACCUCUUUUGUCAGGGAGCAAAGUCACCCACGUGUGGGUGUUUGAGCGUACCUGAUGAAAAAGCAUCGGCUAACUCCGUGCCAGCAGCCGCGGUAAUACGGAGGAUGCGGGCGUUAUCCGGAUUUAUUGGGUUUAAAGGGUGCGUAGGCGGGUUAUCAAGGCAGCGGUAAAAUCGUGGGGCUCAACUCCAGCCAGCCGUUGAAACUGGUGAGCUUGAGUGGGCGAGAAGUAGGCGGAAUGCGUGGUGUAGCGGUGAAAUGCAUAGAUAUCACGCAGAACUCCGAUUGCGAAGGCAGCAUACCGGAGCCCGACUGACGCUGAAGCACGAAAGCGUGGGUAUCGAACAGGAUUAGAUACCCUUGUAGUC